AACCUCCGCAAUGUGAGAAAUCGCGACGGGGGGGUCCCAAGUGCCAUUCUUAACGGGAUGGCUUUUCAUUAGUGUAAAGAGCUUUUGGAAUAAGAGCUGGGCAAGACCGGUGCCAGCCGCCGCGGUAACACCGGCAGCUCUAGUGGUAACAAUUUUUAUUGGGCCUAAAGCGUCCGUAGCCGGUUUAAUAAGUCUCUGGUGAAAUCCUGCAGCUUAACUGUGGGAAUUGCUGGAGAUACUAUUAGACUUGAGACCGGGAGAGGUUAGAGGUACUCCCAGGGUAGAGGUGAAAUUCUGUAAUCCUGGGAGGACCGCCUGUUGCGAAGGCGUCUAACUGGAACGGUUCUGACGGUGAGGGACGAAAGUUAGGGGCGCGAACCGGAUUAGAUACCCGGGUAGUCCUAACUGUAAACGAUGCGGACUUGGUGUUGGGGUGGCUUUGAGCUGCUCCAGUGCCGAAGGGAAGCUGUUAAGUCCGCCGCCUGGGAAGUACGGUCGCAAGACUGAAACUUAAAGGAAAU
This 521-nucleotide ribosomal RNA is filed under the name uncultured bacterium. RNAcentral describes it as "bacterial SSU rRNA". It matches the Rfam family "Archaeal small subunit ribosomal RNA", at positions 345 to 866 of the family's 1478-position model. The record is from RNAcentral.